Anguilla anguilla (European eel) is the source of this 519-nucleotide long non-coding RNA. RefSeq lists it as uncharacterized. NCBI's taxonomy places the organism in Eukaryota, Metazoa, Chordata, Actinopteri, Anguilliformes, Anguillidae. The transcript has 3 exons. The record is from RefSeq and is a predicted model, not a curated record.
GGGAGAACUUGCGUUUUGUUGUCUUAGGAUUUCUUUGUGGUUUCUGUUCAUGAAUGUAUGCUUUCUUGGGCAGCUGACCAGAGUGGAUGGAAUGCAAAUGAGGGCAGGUGAUUCAUUACUGCACCCCAGUCACACCAUCUCCCCGUCACCCUCCAUGAAAUCUGCGAUAGGCUAUUCCUCACACUCCUGACAAGAGGAGCAAGAAAAACAGAGUUGCUGCACUCAGCCAGACAAGAUCACAGCUGGAACGAUGUGUUUCUCCCCAGCAGCUGGGAGUCAAGGGCGGGUGCUUUCCCAGCAUAUCUCUGUCACCUGCCAUUCUGUUGACACCUCCCCUGGUGUGUGCUUUGGAAUAUGGGCAUGUGCAUGGACUUCUGCAUUCUGUCUGCACUGACAGGGAUUUCUGAAAAUCACAUUAGGGGACUGUCAGACUCAGAGCUGCAGAGCCUCAGGGCAAACCCUGCUGUCUCUCUAUACCAGGGAUCUCAAACUCAGAUCCUGGAGAGCCACAGUGUCUGA